UGUUGGAGCAGGGUUGGUAGCUCUCCAGGAGCAGGGUUGGAGAUCCCUGGUUUAGUAACAUACUUUCACUGAGCUGUCAUCUUCAGAAGCUGUGUUUAAAACUGUCUGCAGGUGUUAAGCGUCAUGUUACCAAUCAUCUGAAGCUGUCAAACUGACUGCUUUCGCCACCCAGUGGAGCGGAUGGAAACUUACACUCCAGUUUCUAGUUUUAGUUGCAGACUAGCUCUGAGAUUUAAACUUCAUUUAUUUUACAACAAAAGAUAUGAUUUUGUCAUGGUCUCGGUCAGCAGAUUAUUCUACUAGUUUAGAUAAACGAACUGGAUCAGCUUUCAACUGAUGGGAUGUAGGAGAUCAGAUUCACCAUCUCCCCUUGAGAAGCAUCUGGACAGUGAGUUUGAACAGGAAGCUCUUAGUAAGGAUGAGGAGGAUGUGAAGCUCUGAGCUCUGGAUGAUCAUGAGGUUAUAGAUGAAGGACUGAGACUUUGGCUUCUACAGACCUACAGACACAGAUAUCACAUUUUAGUUCAUGUUAAACCAUGGACGGAUUGAGCACAGAUCAUGUAUUGGUUAAUUUGAUAAAUGAUCAUUAAAAAAAAUACUGUUAACAUAUGUAAUCUAUGAACUGCUGACUGAUAAAACAAC
Molecule: long non-coding RNA, 642 nt
Organism: Cyprinus carpio (common carp)
Lineage: Eukaryota; Metazoa; Chordata; Actinopteri; Cypriniformes; Cyprinidae
Source: RefSeq, a predicted model, not a curated record